UACAGAGGGGGCGAGCGUUGUUCGGAAUUACUGGGCGUAAAGGGCGCGUAGGCGGCCCGCUAAGUCGAACGUGAAAUCCCCAGGCUCAACCUGGGAACUGCGUCCGAUACUGGCAGGCUUGAAUCCGGGAGAGGGAUGUGGAAUUCCAGGUGUAGCGGUGAAAUGCGCAGAUAUCACGAGGAACACCGAUGGCGAAGGCAGGUCUCUGGGCCGAUACUGACGCUGAGGAGCGAAAGCGUGGGGAGCGAACAGG
Molecule: ribosomal RNA, 253 nt
Filed under: uncultured bacterium
Lineage: Bacteria
Description: partial 16S ribosomal RNA
Rfam family: Bacterial small subunit ribosomal RNA
Source: RNAcentral